UACGUAGGGUCCGAGCGUUGGCCGGAAUUAUUGGGCGUAAAGAGCUCGUAGGUGGUUUGUCGCGUUGUUCGUGAAAACCGGGGGCUUAACCCUCGGCGUGCGGGCGAUACGGGCAGACUAGAGGUAUGCAGGGGAGAACGGAAUUCCUGGUGUAGCGGUGAAAUGCGCAGAUAUCAGGAGGAACACCGGUGGCGAAGGCGGUUCUCUGGGCAUUACCUGACGCUGAGGAGCGAAAGUGUGGGGAGCGAACAGG
This 253-nucleotide ribosomal RNA is filed under the name uncultured bacterium. Its description in RNAcentral is "partial 16S ribosomal RNA". It matches the Rfam family "Bacterial small subunit ribosomal RNA", at positions 524 to 776 of the family's 1533-position model. The record is from RNAcentral.